Molecule: long non-coding RNA, 558 nt
Filed under: Homo sapiens (human)
Lineage: Eukaryota; Metazoa; Chordata; Mammalia; Primates; Hominidae
Description: long non-coding RNA NONHSAT162297.1
Source: RNAcentral
CCAGAAGGUGGCUCUGAGCAAGUCUUCACAUUUGCCAUUUGAUUAAUUAAAGAUAAAUGGCGGAGACUUUUCCCUAAAUGGGUUACUUGAUUUAAGAGCUGCUGGCUAAUUUUGGUCGGAUAAUUUAAUAGAAGAGGGAAGAGGAAAGGAAAGAAAGGGGCUUGAAGAAAGAGGAAGAGAAAAGAAACACAAGGAUGGAGAACAAGGAGAGACCAUUUGGAAUGCAACUGAAGAAAUGGCUGGUGCAAUUCAGCAAGGAAGGCAGAAGCUAUGAAUUUGUGCUAUUGUCUGUGGGCUCCUUUCAGGUCACUAUAAGGUCUCAAACAGUAGCUGCCACUUCUAGCUGGGAGAGAAAUGAGAGCUCUGCUCAUGGUGAUCCAGUAUCUCCAGAAUCCAUCACCACUGCUGACCUCCCACUCCAUGUCUCCAAGUGCUCUGCUAUACCUGCCACCAGCAGCUGCCACCUCCAGACUUUGGAAGGUUAUAAUAAAACCUCUGUUCUACGAUCUGCCUUCUGCUUCAACAUCCUCACUCCCCACAAACAAUUCUAAUAAACAG